RNAcentral lists this ribosomal RNA (813 nucleotides) under uncultured bacterium. RNAcentral describes it as "bacterial SSU rRNA". It matches the Rfam family "Bacterial small subunit ribosomal RNA", at positions 8 to 824 of the family's 1533-position model. The record is from RNAcentral.
AGAGUUUGAUCCUGGCUCAGGAUGAACGCUAGCGGCAGGCUUAACACAUGCAAGUCGAGGGGUAUAGUUCUUCGGAAUUAGAGACCGGCGCACGGGUGCGUAACGCGUAUGCAAUCUACCUUUUACAGAGGGAUAGCCCAGAGAAAUUUGGAUUAAUACCUCAUAGUAUGUGAGAAUGGCAUCAUUUUCACAUUAAAGUCACAACGGUAAAAGAUGAGCAUGCGUCCCAUUAGCUAGUUGGUAAGGUAACGGCUUACCAAGGCUACGAUGGGUAGGGGUCCUGAGAGGAAGAUCCCCCACACUGGUACUGAGACACGGACCAGACUCCUACGGGAGGCAGCAGUGAGGAAUAUUGGUCAAUGGGCGCAAGCCUGAACCAGCCAUGCCGCGUGCAGGAUGACGGUCCUAUGGAUUGUAAACUGCUUUUGCACAGGAAGAAACACUCGGACGUGUCCGAGCUUGACGGUACUGUGAGAAUAAGGAUCGGCUAACUCCGUGCCAGCAGCCGCGGUAAUACGGAGGAUCCAAGCGUUAUCCGGAAUCAUUGGGUUUAAAGGGUCCGUAGGCGGUUUUGUAAGUCAGUGGUGAAAGCCCAUCGCUCAACGGUGGAACGGCCAUUGAUACUGCAAGACUUGAAUUAUUAGGAAGUAACUAGAAUAUGUAGUGUAGCGGUGAAAUGCUUAGAGAUUACAUGGAAUACCAAUUGCGAAGGCAGGUUACUACUAAUGGAUUGACGCUCAAGUGCGAAAGCGUGGGGAGCAAACAGGAUUAGAUACCCUGGUAGUCCCGCUGUAACGAUGGGUGCUAGAUGUC